This 470-nucleotide ribosomal RNA is filed under the name uncultured bacterium. Its description in RNAcentral is "partial 16S ribosomal RNA". It matches the Rfam family "Bacterial small subunit ribosomal RNA", at positions 28 to 507 of the family's 1533-position model. The record is from RNAcentral.
GACGAACGCUGGCGGCGUGCUUAACACAUGCAAGUCGAACGAGAGCCCAUGAGUAGCAAUCCACAGCAAGAUCUAGGGGCGAACGGGUGAGGAAAACGAGCGAAACGUACCCCAGACUGUGGGAUAACAGACCGAAAGGACUGCUAAUACCAAAUAACGUCUGCAGUUGGCAUGGACAGCUGACGAGAGGGAUUCCGGUUGGGGAGCGUCAGGCGGACCUAGCAGCUAGGUGGGGGGGUAACGGCCCACCACGGCAACGCCGGGUAGCUGGGCUGUGAGGAUGGUCCCCCACUCUUGGGCUGGGCCACGGUCCAGACUCCUACGGGAGGCAGCAGUGGGGAAUCUUGCGCAAUGGGGGAAGGGCUGACGGAGCUACGCCGCUUGCGCGAAGAUGGCGUUCGGGCUGUAAAGCGCUUUCAGUAGGAGCGAAUCUGACGGUACCUACAGAAGAAGGAGCGGCUAACUACGUG